AAAUGCGAUAAGUAGUGUGAAUUGCAGAAUUCAGUGAAUCAUCGAAUCUUUGAACGCACAUUGCGCCCCUUGGUAUUCCAUGGGGCAUGCCUGUUCGAGCGUCAUUUGUACCCUCAAGCUCUGCUUGGUGUUGGGUGUUUGUCCCCGUCUCCGCGCGUGGACUCGCCCCAAAGUGAUUGGCAGCCGGCGUACUGGUCCCGGAGCGCAGCACAUGUCGUGCAAACGAGUGCCUUGGUACGGCGGCGUCCAUAAGCCCCUCUCUCACGCUCUUGACCUCGGAUCAGGUAGGGAUACCCGCUGAACUUAAGC
Molecule: unclassified non-coding RNA, 309 nt
Filed under: plant metagenome
Description: partial contains 5.8S ribosomal RNA, internal transcribed spacer 2, and large subunit ribosomal RNA
Rfam family: 5.8S ribosomal RNA (bases 1-104)
Source: RNAcentral